This 253-nucleotide ribosomal RNA is filed under the name uncultured bacterium. Its description in RNAcentral is "partial 16S ribosomal RNA". It matches the Rfam family "Bacterial small subunit ribosomal RNA", at positions 524 to 776 of the family's 1533-position model. The record is from RNAcentral.
UACGGGGGGGGCAAGCGUUGUUCGGAAUUACUGGGCUUAAAGCGCACGUAGGCGGUGUCGUAAGUGUCAGGUGAAAUCCCACGGCUCACCCGUGGAACUGCCUGGCAGACUGCGAUACUCGAGUGUGGUAGGGGAGAGCGGAACUCCUGGUGGAGCGGUGAAAUGCGUAGAUAUCAGGAGGAACACCGGUGGCGAAGGCGGCUCUCUGGUCCACAACUGACGCUGAGGUGCGAAAGCUAGGGGAGCAAACGGG